This 119-nucleotide non-coding RNA is filed under the name uncultured eukaryote. The record is from RNAcentral.
UAUUUAUUUAUAUCAUUCUUCUUCUUCUUCUACUUUUUCUUCUUCUUUUGAGACAUUUUCCUUUUAAGUCCGACCCAAAAAAUGCGUUUCAACAAAAAGAACAGAAACAAAAAUCUGGG